This is a long non-coding RNA of Cyprinus carpio (common carp), 2839 nucleotides long. Lineage: Eukaryota; Metazoa; Chordata; Actinopteri; Cypriniformes; Cyprinidae. The record is from Ensembl.
GUCUUUUCAAGAUAAUUUUCAGCCAAUGAGACCAGUGGGUGCGGUCAAUUAUUACGUCAUUAUAAUCGCUGCAUUCCAUAGAACGUUCGGUGAGUAGUCUAUAAAUAUGAGUGCAGAUGCAUCAUGCGUUUUGUAGCGAGUUUUGGCGAGUGAUCGUGAGUAUGCUCUUUACAUCUAAAUUAGAUUUUUUUGUUUAAUAUUUUAAUAACUUAGAGAAAAAUCUGCCUUGUAAUAAAUAAACAUGUGUGCUACACAGUGGAGGUCCGUCAUGGAGACUGAUAUAUAAAUUAAUAAUGAUGAAAGCUAUAUGACUGAUUUGAGUAAUAAGAUUUUUGAACAUAUAGUUUACAACAUUUUGCAGUAAAUCAAAGGAACAAAUCUUGUGGUGCCAAAUACAGACUAUGACCGUUUUAAACAUUUAUUCAUAAAUAUAGAGCUCUGUAGACAAAAUCCACCCCUCCUUUAUUAUGAUAAAUUCUGAAUACUGAAAGCUUUAAUAGUUUAAUAGUUAUCUCUUACAAUGAUCAUAAGGAGGUAUACAUUUACAUUAUAAGCAUCUGAGUUCUGCACAUUAAUUGGUAAAAUAAUAUUAAUAAAAACUCCACUUGUGGACCCCCACUGUGCAUGGACACUGUAAAACUGUACCUGUAAAAGAAAAAGAACUAACAUCACCAACCUCCAGGCUCUUAAAUGUUUACUAUUAUAUAUCGAUUGCCUUUCUCUUUUCUGCCACAGUAUUUUACAGAUAUAAAGACAAAGGCAGUAUUGUUCAUUUCUUUGAUUAUAUUUCACCAUCGAAUCACACAUCAGCAUGACUAUGUCAACCAUCCCCACCAGUUUUGUUGAGAGUGCAGUGCAGUCCUCAUCUUCUGAGCUCUUAGAUGAGCUCACCACUGCCCUCGCUGCAGGACGGUGGUGGGCAAUAAUGGAGGUCUCCUCUCCUUUAUCUGAGGAGCCUGAAUAUGGGGACCUCACCUCACUCAGGUCCCUGUACUCAAGCUUCUCAGAUGCAACACUGAGUGCACCCAUACCUCCCAGGUCCCAAAAGGGAGCACCUGUGCCUGCCUAUGCUGAGAAGAGGGACCACACCUCGUCCCUGGUCUUCAACAAUGCAUCGGAGAAGGCUGAGUCUCUGCACUCAGGCUUCUCAGAUGCAAAGCUGAAGACCACGGAGCAACAGAGGAAGUGGAGGCAGAAGAAGCCUCAGGGACCACCUUUGCUUGCUGGGUCUGAGAAGGCUGAGUGUGGGAACUCACUGAAGACCACUAAGCAGGUGAGGCAAGAGUGGAGACAGAAGAAGCCUCAGGGACCACCUGUGCUUGCUGGGUCCGAGAAGGCUGAGUGUGGGAACUCACUGAAGACCACUAAGCAGGUGAGGCAAGAGUGGAGACAGAAGAAGCCUCAGGGAGCACCUGUUCCUGGUGGCUCCCCCCAGGGACAUCCUGUGCCCACUGGGUCCCAACAACGUGGAAAACUCAGGAUCCCUGAGCAUCUGAGGCAGCACCUGCUACAGGCCGCUAAUGAACUGGGAGCACCUGUGCCUGCAAGGUCCCCACAGGGAGCACCAGUGCCUUCAAAGUCUCUACAAAGGGAACCUGUGCCUGUCUCAAAGGUGCAAAAAUUAAAGAUCCCUGAGCCACUAAGGCAGGAGCUGCAGCAGCAGAUGCCUCAAGCCUCUUCUGACAAGGGAGCACCUGUACCCAACAAGACCCCAGAGAGGCAAAGGCUAAAAAUCCCUGAGCCACUGAGGCAGGAGCUGCUGCAGCUGUCGCACCGAGCCUCAUCUGUAAAGGGAGAGCUUGUGCCUCAAAAGAGCCAGGAGAAGCAGAGGCUCAAGAUACCUGAGCGGCUAAGGCAGGAGCUGCUGCAGGUGUCACCCAGAGCCUCAUCUGAGAAGGGAGCACCUGUACCCAACAAGACCCCAGAGAGGCAAAGGCUAAAAAUCCCUGAGCCACUGAGGCAGGAGCUGCUGCAGCUGUCGCACCGGGCCUCCUCGGUGAGGGGGGGACUUGUGCCCCAAAAGACCCAGGAGAAGCAGAGGCUUAAGAUACCUGAGCCGCUGAGGCAGGAGCUGCUGCAGCUGUCGCACCGAGCCUCAUCUGUGAAGGGAGAACUUGUGCCCCAAAAGACCCAGGAGAAGGAGAGGCUUAAGAUACCUGAGCCGCUGAGGCAGGAGCUGCUGCAGGUGUCACCCAGAGCCUCUUCUGAGAAGGGAGAGCUUGUGCCUCAAAAGAGCCAGGAGAAGCAGAGGCUCAAGACACCUGAGCAGCUGAGGCAGGAGCUGCUGCAGUUGUCAGUCAGAGCCUCUUCUGAGAAGGGAGCACCCGUGCCCAUAAAGACUGCAGAGAGGCAAAGGCUUAAAAUACCAGAGCCGCUGAGGAAGGAACUGCUCCAGCAGAAACCUCAAGCCUCUCCUGCAGAUGGUAAACUCCUGUCUUCCAAGUCCCCACAGGAAGUACCUUUACCUGACAGGAACCCUGUACAUACCGGGACCUCACAGGGAGCAGGAGUGCUUGCCAGUUCUCCACUGCCCACUGGGUGUCUGAAGGAAGCAGCAGUGCCCACCAGAACCACAAAGGCAGGAAAACGGAGGCUUGCUGAGCAUCUGAGCAUGCCUGUCUCUUCCACCCAGGGAUUACAUAUGCCCUCCAGGACCUCAAAAGUGGCGCCUGUGUAUUCUGGGACCUUACAGGGAGCACUUGUGACAAGAAGCUCCCCACGACAGGGAGCAAACCCUAGAAUCACAGAGCAGCAGAAGCAGAAGCGGAGGGAGCAGUGGAGACAGCAGCAGAGACAGCGGAGGCAGCAGAAGGCAUCAGUAAGUUCUUUCCAUUUCUGA